Neltuma alba is the source of this 431-nucleotide long non-coding RNA. RefSeq lists it as uncharacterized. Lineage: Eukaryota; Viridiplantae; Streptophyta; Magnoliopsida; Fabales; Fabaceae. The record is from RefSeq and is a predicted model, not a curated record. The transcript is spliced from 3 exons.
UGGAAAAGCUUACAGGUAUAUGCAAGCAUUUGGCGUGGGCUCUUUGGAAGACAAUUGGUCUUUUCAGUCACCCGCAACAAUUUUUUCUUCCUCCUUUAUUACUUAAUCUUCCCCCAUGGCAGAAUUUCUUGUUAUUGAUAUUGGGCGAUGUGGGAAUUUAAACAAUAGUUACAAUGGCAGCUCCCUGCUUAUGAGUCUCAUUCCAGGCACUGUAUGAAACAAGGGCUUUAGUUAAGAUUAUCCCCAUCAAUUGGUAAAAUAAAGAAUGAUUACAAUAUUCGAGCAUGGAGCCUCCUAAAAACUUUCCCCAGCUUACUAUAAAUUAGCUAACUCAUAAGAACAAUGUCGCAGAGCAUCAAAUGCAAACACUGAUGGAAGGAAUCAGACAUCUCCCCAUCAAGAAUUGGAAUGUCACUUCCGCUUUUGGAGGU